UAAGGAAUAUUGGUCAAUGGGCGCAAGCCUGAACCAGCCAUGCCGCGUGCAGGAAGACGGCCUUAUGGGUUGUAAACUGCUUUUAAACGGGAUUAAACCUCACUACGAGUAGUGAGCUGAAAGUACUGUUAGAAUAAGGAUCGGCUAACUCCGUGCCAGCAGCCGCGGUAAUACGGAGGAUCCAAGCGUUAUCCGGAUUUAUUGGGUUUAAAGGGUGCGUAGGCGGUUAAAUAAGUCAGAGGUGAAAACUAGCAGCUCAACUGUAAGCGUGCCUUUGAUACUGUUUAGCUAGAAUGAACUUGAGGUAGGCGGAAUGUGACAAGUAGCGGUGAAAUGCAUAGAUAUGUUACAGAACACCAAUUGCGUAGGCAGCUUACUAAGGUUUAAUUGACGCUGAGGC
RNAcentral lists this ribosomal RNA (400 nucleotides) under uncultured bacterium. Its description in RNAcentral is "bacterial SSU rRNA". It matches the Rfam family "Bacterial small subunit ribosomal RNA", at positions 355 to 752 of the family's 1533-position model. The record is from RNAcentral.